UACGUAGGGUGCGAGCGUUUAAUCGGAAUUACUGGGCGUAAAGCGUGCGCAGGCGGUCUGUUAAGACCGAUGUGAAAUCCCCGGGCUUAACCUGGGAACUGCGUUUGAAACUGGAAGGCUUGAGUGUGGCAGAGGGGGGUGGAAUUCCACGUGUAGCAGUGAAAUGCGUAGAGAUGUGGAGGAACACCGAUGGCGAAGGCAGCCCCCUGGGCUAACACUGACGCUCAUGCACGAAAGCGUGGGGAGCAAACAGG
This 254-nucleotide ribosomal RNA is filed under the name uncultured bacterium. RNAcentral describes it as "partial 16S ribosomal RNA". It matches the Rfam family "Bacterial small subunit ribosomal RNA", at positions 524 to 776 of the family's 1533-position model. The record is from RNAcentral.